RNAcentral lists this small nuclear RNA (107 nucleotides) under Piliocolobus tephrosceles (Ugandan red Colobus). Lineage: Eukaryota; Metazoa; Chordata; Mammalia; Primates; Cercopithecidae. The record is from RNAcentral.
GUGUUCACUUUGGCAGCACAUGCACAAAAAUUGGAAUAAUACAGAGAAGAUUAGUAAGGUGUGUGUGCAAGGAUGACAUACAAAUUUGUGAGGUGUUCUACAUAAAA